RNAcentral lists this ribosomal RNA (367 nucleotides) under uncultured organism. RNAcentral describes it as "bacterial LSU rRNA". It matches the Rfam family "Bacterial large subunit ribosomal RNA", at positions 2099 to 2465 of the family's 2925-position model. The record is from RNAcentral.
CUUUACUGUAGCCUGGUAUUGGGUUCGGGCUUUGACUGCGCAGGAUAGGUGGGAGACUAUGAAGCUGCCCUUGCGGGGGCAGUGGAGUCAUCAGUGAGAUACCACUCUGUCAAGGCUAGAAUUCUAACCGUCUGCCGUUAUCCGGCGACGGAACAGUAUCAGGUGGGCAGUUUGACUGGGGCGGUCGCCUCCUAAAUGGUAACGGAGGCGCGCAAAGGUUCCCUCAGGCUGGUUGGAAAUCAGCCGAAGAGUGUAAAGGCAGAAGGGAGCUUGACUGCAAGAGCAACAACUCAAGCAGGGACGAAAGUCGGCCUUAGUGAUCCGACGGCGCUGAGUGGAAGGGCCGUCGCUCAACGGAUAAAAGUUA